AAGUGUGCAGCCUUGUCUAUUCUAUACAGUAUAACUGUAUAAUGUCGACUGGUUAGGCUAUUCUGACUAUCUCCAUGUCUUAUGCUACCAGCCAGAGGCCACACCAGUCCCCUGUAACAUAGGCAUAUACCAGUCAGCUAUGGAACCGUGUUACAGCAUAGUUUAUUAGGUUUUUAUCAGUGCAAAGCAUAGGCCUAAAUCACUUAGCCUAAUGGUAUUACUACAUAGCUACAGCAUAGGAGGAACUGUUGCUGCUAUUGGAUACACGUUUGAUUCUACAUGAUGAACUGGACAUAGAAUGUAAUAGAAUAGAAUAGAAUAGAAUAGAAUGUAAUAGAAUAGAAUGUAAUAUAAUAGAAUGUAAUAGAAUAGAAUGUAAUAGAAUAGAAUGUAAUAGAAUAGAAUAGAAUAGAGGUGAUUGUCUUCACGGGAGGAAAUUCUUUCCCACAAGUACAUUCUACUCCAACAACCAACACCAUCACCCAGACAUUUAUAAGUACACCUCUAGUUCCCAAUACCCCAACACCAUCACCCAGACAUUUACAAGUACACCUCCAGUUCCCAAUAGCCCAACACCAUCACCCAGACAUUUACAAGUACAUUCUACUCCAACAACCAACACCAUCACCCAGACAUUUACAAGUACACCUCUAGUUCCCAUUACCCCAACACCAUCACCCAGACAUUUACAAGUACACCUCCAGUUCCCAAUUCCCCAACACCAUCACCCAGACAUUUACAAGUACACCUCUAGUUCCCAAUACCCCAACACCAUCACCCAGACAUUUACAAGUACAUUCUACUCCAACAACCAACACCAUCACCCAGACAUUUACAAGUACAUUCUACUCCAACAACCAACACCAUCACCCAGACAUUUACAAGUACACCUCCAGUUCCCAAUACCCCAACACCAUCACCCAGACAUUUAUAAGUACACCUCCAGUUCCCAAUAUCCCAACACCAUCACCCAGACAUUUACAAGUACACCUCCAGUUCCCAAUACCCCAACACCAUCACCCAGACAUUUACAAGUACACCUCUAGUUCCCAAUACCCCAACACCAUCACCCAGACAUUUACAAGUACACCUCUAGUUCCCAAUACCCCAACACCAUCACCCAGACAUUUACAAGUACACCUUCAGUUCCCAAUACCCCAACACCAUCACCCAGACAUUUACAAGUACACCUUCAGUACCCAAUACCCCAACACCAUCACCCAGACAUUUACAAGUACACCUCUAGUUCCCAAUACCCCAACACCAUCACCCAGACAUUUACAAGUACACCUUCAGUUCCCAAUACCCCAACACCAUCACCCAGACAUUUACAAGUACACCUUCAGUUCCCAAUACCCCAACACCAUCACCCAGACAUUUACAAGUACACCUUCAGUUCCCAACAGUCCAACACCAUCACCCAGACAUUUACAAGUACACCUCCAGUUCCCAACAGUCCAACACCAUCACCCAGACAUUUACAAGUACACCUCCAGUUCCCAACAGUCCAACACCAUCACCCAGACAUUUACAAGUACACCUCCAGUUCCCAAUAGCCCAACACCAUCACCCAGACAUUUACAAGUACACCUCCAGUUCCCAAUACCCCAACACCAUCACCCAGACAUUUACAAGUACACCUCCAGUUCCCAACAGUCCAACACCAUCACCCAGACAUUUACAAGUACACCUCCAGUUCCCAAUACCCCAACACCAUCACCCAGACAUUUACAAGUACACCUUCAGUUCCCAACAGUCCAACACCAUCACCCAGACAUUUACAAGUACACCUCCAGUUCCCAAUACCCCAACACCAUCACCCAGACAUUUACAAGUACACCUCCAGUUCCCAAUACCCCAACACCAUCACCCAGACAUUUACAAGUACACCUUCAGUUCCCAAUACCCCAACACCAUCACCCAGACAUUUACAAGUACACCUUCAGUUCCCAAUACCCCAACACCAUCACCCAGACAUUUACAAGUACACCUCCAGUUCCCAAUACCCCAACACCAUCACCCAGACAUUUACAAGUACACCUUCAGUACCCAAUACCCCAACACCAUCACCCAGACAUUUACAAGUACACCUCCAGUUCCCAAUACCCCAACACCAUCACCCAGACAUUUACAAGUACACCUCCAGUUCCCAAUACCCCAACACA
Molecule: long non-coding RNA, 2165 nt
Filed under: Oncorhynchus kisutch (coho salmon)
Lineage: Eukaryota; Metazoa; Chordata; Actinopteri; Salmoniformes; Salmonidae
Description: lncRNA (ENSOKIG00005039070.1)
Source: RNAcentral